Molecule: non-coding RNA, 185 nt
Filed under: Candidatus Omnitrophota bacterium
Lineage: Bacteria; Pseudomonadati; Candidatus Omnitrophota
Description: Candidatus Omnitrophica bacterium 6S RNA
Rfam family: 6S / SsrS RNA
About the family: E. coli 6S RNA was the first non coding RNA to be sequenced, but its function was unknown until recently. It consists of 184 nucleotides that fold into an extended hairpin structure with a large single-stranded internal bulge.
Source: RNAcentral
AUAUCCCUGCGAUGUGCGUGGUGAAAGGAAGUUUUUGAGCUAACACCAUUAUAUAGGGAGCCUAACUUUAGGCGCGGCUGUAUACCUGGUCGCUAGCGGCAAGGGAACAUCAAGCGCUUAAGAGGGCACCCACUUGUCAAAUGGGUUCAAAAAGCGACCUUUUACACGGCAUCUGUGGGGAUUUU